UACGGAGGGGGCUAGCGUUGUUCGGAAUUACUGGGCGUAAAGCGCACGUAGGCGGCUUUGUAAGUUAGAGGUGAAAGCCCGGGGCUCAACCCCGGAAUUGCCUUUAAGACUGCAUCGCUAGAAUUGUGGAGAGGUAAGUGGAAUUCCGAGUGUAGAGGUGAAAUUCGUAGAUAUUCGGAAGAACACCAGUGGCGAAGGCGACUCACUGGACACAUAUUGACGCUGAGGCGCGAAAGCUAGGGGAGCAAACAGG
Molecule: ribosomal RNA, 253 nt
Filed under: uncultured bacterium
Lineage: Bacteria
Description: partial 16S ribosomal RNA
Rfam family: Bacterial small subunit ribosomal RNA
Source: RNAcentral